GGGCUCAUAGCUCAGUUGGUUAGAGCGUCACGUUGACAUCGUGGAGGCCAGAGGUUCGAGUCCUCUUGAGCCCA
This 74-nucleotide transfer RNA is filed under the name Candidatus Curtissbacteria bacterium RIFCSPHIGHO2_01_FULL_34_40. Its description in RNAcentral is "tRNA-Val". It matches the Rfam family "tRNA". From Rfam's summary of the family: Transfer RNA (tRNA) molecules are approximately 80 nucleotides in length. Their secondary structure includes four short double-helical elements and three loops (D, anti-codon, and T loops). RNAcentral also lists the same sequence under 10 other names. Lineage: Bacteria; Candidatus Curtissiibacteriota. The record is from RNAcentral.